RNAcentral lists this transfer RNA (75 nucleotides) under Microbacterium schleiferi. Its description in RNAcentral is "tRNA-Trp". It matches the Rfam family "tRNA". Rfam says of the family: Transfer RNA (tRNA) molecules are approximately 80 nucleotides in length. Their secondary structure includes four short double-helical elements and three loops (D, anti-codon, and T loops). Further hydrogen bonds mediate the characteristic L-shaped molecular structure. tRNAs have two regions of fundamental functional importance: the anti-codon, which is responsible for specific mRNA codon recognition, and the 3' end, to which the tRNAs corresponding amino acid is attached (by aminoacyl-tRNA synthetases). tRNAs cope with the degeneracy of the genetic code in two manners: having more than one tRNA (with a specific anti-codon) for a particular amino acid; and 'wobble' base-pairing, i.e. permitting non-standard base-pairing at the 3rd anti-codon position. The record is from RNAcentral. Lineage: Bacteria; Bacillati; Actinomycetota; Actinomycetes; Micrococcales; Microbacteriaceae.
GGGUGCCCCUAGCUCAGCGGCAGAGCGCUGGUCUCCAAAACCAGGCGUGCGAGGUUCGACUCCUCGGGGUAUGCA